RNAcentral lists this ribosomal RNA (774 nucleotides) under uncultured Neocallimastigales. RNAcentral's name for it is "partial large subunit ribosomal RNA". It matches the Rfam family "Eukaryotic large subunit ribosomal RNA", at positions 26 to 644 of the family's 3401-position model. The record is from RNAcentral. Lineage: Eukaryota; Fungi; Neocallimastigomycota; Neocallimastigomycetes; Neocallimastigales.
CGCAUCUGUGCAUGCAGCAUAUCAAUAAGCGGAGGAAAAGAAACCAACAAGGAUUCCCCUAGUAACGGCGAGUGAAGCGGGAAGAGCUCAAAUUUGAAAUCUUAAAGGGUUUCCCUUUACGAAUUGUAGUUUAAAGAAGUGUUUUCUGUUGAGGUUUUGGUAAAAGUUCUUUGGAAUAGGACAUCAUAGAGGGUGAGAAUCCCGUAUUUGACCUUUACUUUCAACUUUGUGAUACACUUUCAAAGAGUCGGAUUGUUUGGGAAUGCAGUCCAAAAUGGGUGGUAAAUUUCAUCUAAAGCUAAAUAUUGGCGAGAGACCGAUAGCGAACAAGUACCGUGAGGGAAAGAUGAAAAGAACUUUGAAAAGAGAGUUAAACAGUACGUGAAAUUGUCAAAAGGGAAGCGUUUGACACCAGUGUUGUUUUUCUGAAAAUCAAUUAAAGAACUGUUUAUGCUAAGCUGUUUAGACUUUAUCAGCUAACUGUUUAGUUUUGAGCUUUUCUUUAAUGCACUUUUCAGUUAACAAGUCAACAUCAAUUUCUCUUGCUGUAAAAAAGCUUGAGGAAGGUGGCUUGAGAUUCGUCUUAAGUGUUUAUAGCCUCUUGCCUAUGCAGUCGGAGAGAUUGAGGUCUGCAGCGUAGAUCCUUCGGGGCUAAAUGCAUUUGUGCUAAGUUAUAACAUUUUAUAGACAACUUGUUGACUAUGAUUUGUCUUGUAGCUUACUCGCUUAUGUUAUUUUACCUACGCUUAGGAUGUUGAAUCUGUGCGAGACUAC